Molecule: non-coding RNA, 72 nt
Organism: Phrynosoma platyrhinos (Desert horned lizard)
Lineage: Eukaryota; Metazoa; Chordata; Lepidosauria; Squamata; Phrynosomatidae
Source: the annotation of a GenBank genome assembly
GCCAGUGUGUCAUAAUGGUUUGACUGUUGGAGUAGGACUCUAGAGACCAGGGUUCAAUUCCCUGCUUGGCCA